GGAGGGGUGGCAGAGCGGUUGAAUGCGACGGCCUUGAAAGCCGUUGGGCCUCGCAAGGGGUCUCGUGGGUUCGAAUCCCACCCCCUCCG
RNAcentral lists this transfer RNA (89 nucleotides) under Solirubrobacterales bacterium. RNAcentral describes it as "tRNA-Ser". It matches the Rfam family "tRNA". From Rfam's summary of the family: Transfer RNA (tRNA) molecules are approximately 80 nucleotides in length. Their secondary structure includes four short double-helical elements and three loops (D, anti-codon, and T loops). Further hydrogen bonds mediate the characteristic L-shaped molecular structure. tRNAs have two regions of fundamental functional importance: the anti-codon, which is responsible for specific mRNA codon recognition, and the 3' end, to which the tRNAs corresponding amino acid is attached (by aminoacyl-tRNA synthetases). tRNAs cope with the degeneracy of the genetic code in two manners: having more than one tRNA (with a specific anti-codon) for a particular amino acid; and 'wobble' base-pairing, i.e. permitting non-standard base-pairing at the 3rd anti-codon position. Lineage: Bacteria; Bacillati; Actinomycetota; Thermoleophilia; Solirubrobacterales. The record is from RNAcentral.